This 496-nucleotide ribosomal RNA is filed under the name uncultured bacterium. RNAcentral describes it as "partial 16S ribosomal RNA". It matches the Rfam family "Bacterial small subunit ribosomal RNA", at positions 28 to 506 of the family's 1533-position model. The record is from RNAcentral.
GAUGAACGCUGGCGGCGUGCCUAAUACAUGCAAGUCGAGCGAACAGACGAGGAGCUUGCUCCUCUGACGUUAGCGGCGGACGGGUGAGUAACACGUGGAUAACCUACCUAUAAGACUGGGAUAACUUCGGGAAACCGGAGCUAAUACCGGAUAAUAUAUUGAACCGCAUGGUUCAAUAGUGAAAGACGGUUUUGCUGUCACUUAUAGAUGGAUCCGCGCCGCAUUAGCUAGUUGGUAAGGUAACGGCUUACCAAGGCAACGAUGCGUAGCCGACCUGAGAGGGUGAUCGGCCACACUGGAACUGAGACACGGUCCAGACUCCUACGGGAGGCAGCAGUAGGGAAUCUGCCGCAAUGGGCGAAAGCCUGACGGAGCAACGCCGCGUGAGUGAUGAAGGUCUGCGGAUCGUAAAACUCUGUUAUUAGGGAAGAACAAAUGUGUAAGUAACUAUGCACGUCUUGACGGGACCUAAUCAGAAAGCCACGGCUAACUACGU